CUCACAUCCCAGAGGCGGCCCUUCCAGAUAACGGAGUUGACGGGGGCAGGAUCUCUGGGGGAGCCACUCUUGCUAAGCUGUGUAAAGCACUAUUGUCUUGGGGUUGAUCUCUAGGGCAGUUCUUGGUAGGUUCUGCUGGGCAGAACACGUGGGUUAAAUCUCCGUAGAGUUUCCUCAUCUUCUCUCCAUAAGUGUCCUUCCAAGCAAGGUCCCACUUGAGGCAGCAGUCAGGGACCGCUUCUACUGAACCUUUGAGGAAAGGAGGAAGGAAGAAAUGCUUUCAGAUCUCGGAUGCACACCUUUCAAAGGGCUAAGUGUAACCACAUGGGUCAACCACAUGCACAGCCUUACUACAGAAGCCGUCCUUUCAUUUCAACUUAUAGCAAGAUUAAAUUGCCAGUAUUUUUGUAAGGUUCCAUUUUGUAAAGAGAAUAAUAUUCAAAGACUUUUGUAGAAUACAAAGUGAAAAUUUGUAUCUGCGAAACUAUACUUGUAUUAAAUGUGCUUUUUAAAUAAAAGCUC
RNAcentral lists this long non-coding RNA (522 nucleotides) under Bos taurus (domestic cattle). RNAcentral describes it as "long non-coding RNA NONBTAT018825". The record is from RNAcentral. Lineage: Eukaryota; Metazoa; Chordata; Mammalia; Artiodactyla; Bovidae.